This 421-nucleotide ribosomal RNA is filed under the name uncultured bacterium. Its description in RNAcentral is "partial 16S ribosomal RNA". It matches the Rfam family "Bacterial small subunit ribosomal RNA", at positions 360 to 773 of the family's 1533-position model. The record is from RNAcentral.
AAUAUUGGACAAUGGGGGCAACCCUGUUCCCGCCUUGCCGCGUGCGUGAAGAAGGUCUUCGGAUGGUAAAGUACUUUACGUUGGGAGGAAGGUCUUUCGGCUCAUACCCUGAAGUUUUGACGUUACCAACAUAAUAAGCACCGGCUAACUCUGUGCGAGCAGCCGCGGUAAUACAGAGGGUGCAAGCGUUAAUCGGAAUUACUGGGCGUAAAGCGCGCGUAGGUGGUUCAGUAAGAUGGGUGUGAAAUCCCCGGGCUUAACCUGGGAACUGCUUUCAUAACUGCUGAGCUAGAGUACGGUAGAGGGUAGUGGAAUUUCCUGUGUAGCGGUGAAAUGCGUAGAUAGAGGAAGGAACACCAGUGGCGAAGGCGACUACCUGGACUGAUACUGACACUGAGGUGCGAAAGCGUGGGGAGCAAAC